Magallana angulata is the source of this 729-nucleotide long non-coding RNA. RefSeq lists it as uncharacterized. The transcript has 2 exons. The record is from RefSeq and is a predicted model, not a curated record. NCBI's taxonomy places the organism in Eukaryota, Metazoa, Mollusca, Bivalvia, Ostreida, Ostreidae.
UCCCCAGUUAUUUCAUAAAAUGAAUACACGUGUGUACAAAACAAUUUAAAAACAUCUCUUCCACUCCAAAGCACAUGUUCCGAUGAACACAGACGGUGACGCGCAUCUAGAAGCGGAUCAGGUGGUGGGAUCAACAUUGAAAUUAGUAUGGAGAUACAUUUCUUUAGUAGUCUAGCAAUCUCAGGCGGGUGCAAUGUAAGCGCCGGAACGGAAGCCAUGACAGUUUUCCUCGUCUCUACUAUGAUUUCUUUUAAAAUAGAAGAAAACACUUUAUUAAAAAGAAAUAACAUUACAAUUUGAUAAACCGAGGCAGAUAUUCAUGAAGAUAGAUGUAGCACAUCGAAACAUGAUCGUUAUGUGGAAAAUUUGUCCACCAUACUCUCGACCCAAUGAAUUGUGACGAACCCUCACAUGGCCAUUUUCAUUGUCAUUCUAAAGCGUGUAGAGCAUGGCGACAGACAUGGACAGUUUACCAGAUAUAUCGGAUGAUGAAGAUCAACAAACGAUUGUUUGGAAAGUAAAUUCAAGAAAACGAGUUUUCAUUUCUAAUCAAGAAGUCUAUAUGAUGUUGAGGCUAUACCAACUUCACCCCUGAUAAAUGUGAAAUUUGUUUACAUUAACGGUUUUAUUAUAAACUCAAACAAAAUAAGCAGUUAGUUCCGACGAAGAAAGCACUUAGCUUUGCUACGUGUUACAUGCAGCUUUCAAUAGAAUAAAAUGUAAAAUCUU